UACGUAGGGUGCGAGCGUUAAUCGGAAUUACUGGGCGUAGAGCGUGCGCAGGCGGCUAUGCAAGACAGAUGUGAAAUCCCCGGGCUCAACCUGGGAACUGCAUUUGUGACUGCAUGGCUAGAGUACGGUAGAGGGGGAUGGAAUUCCGCGUGUAGCAGUGAAAUGCGUAGAUAUGCGGAGGAACACCGAUGGCGAAGGCAAUCCCCUGGACCUGUACUGACGCUCAUGCACGAAAGCGUGGGGAGCAAACAGG
RNAcentral lists this ribosomal RNA (253 nucleotides) under uncultured bacterium. RNAcentral's name for it is "partial 16S ribosomal RNA". It matches the Rfam family "Bacterial small subunit ribosomal RNA", at positions 524 to 776 of the family's 1533-position model. The record is from RNAcentral.